RNAcentral lists this long non-coding RNA (358 nucleotides) under Fukomys damarensis (Damara mole-rat). RNAcentral describes it as "lncRNA (ENSFDAG00000031630.1)". The record is from RNAcentral. Lineage: Eukaryota; Metazoa; Chordata; Mammalia; Rodentia; Bathyergidae.
CUUCAAAGAAUAGUUAUCACUGCCUUUUGUUGCUACGAGCUUUGGAUCCCAUGGACAACACUCCUCGAUUCUUCUUGCUUACCUGUACUACUGCUUGUUGUUAAGACCAUGUGUCUCCAUCGGUAACAUUUUCAACUGCCUCAUGUUAACCAGAACUUGUGUCCUCCAGGGAGGCUGUUUUAUCUCUAUCCAAGGUGGUAUUGAUAGACUCAUGGAAUGAGUUUCCUGUUCUCCAGAAGCUUGUCAGCCUUCCAGUGACAUGUUUUUUUAAAUAAUUCAACUACUCAGGUCCAUCUGGAAAUCAUUGUUUGGAUGCUUCCUAUCUUUUAUAUGACCCCGAUUAAAAACUACAGAGAGA